Molecule: ribosomal RNA, 492 nt
Filed under: uncultured bacterium
Lineage: Bacteria
Description: partial 16S ribosomal RNA
Rfam family: Bacterial small subunit ribosomal RNA
Source: RNAcentral
AGUGAACGCUGGCGGUAGGCCUAACACAUGCAAGUCGAACGGCAGCACAGUAAGAGCUUGCUCUUACGGGUGGCGAGUGGCGGACGGGUGAGGAAUACAUCGGAAUCUACUUUUUCGUGGGGGAUAACGUAGGGAAACUUACGCUACUACCGCAUACGUCCUACGGGUGAAAGCAGGGGUUCUUCGGACCUUGCGCGAUUGAAUGAGCCGAGGUCGGAUUAGUUAGUUGGCGGGGUAAAGGCCCACCAAGGCAACGAUGCGUAGCCGAUCUGAGAGGAUGAUCGGCCACACUGGAAGUGAGACACGGUCCAGAAUCCUACGGGAGGCAGCAGUAGGGAAUAUUACGCAAUGGGCGAAAGCCUGACGGAGCAAUGCCGCGUGAGUGAUGAAGGUCUUCGGAUCGUAAAACUCUGUUAUUAGGGAAGAACAAAUGUGUAAGUAAAUAUGCACGUCUUGACGGUACCUAAUCAGAAAGCCACGGCUAACUACGUG